RNAcentral lists this ribosomal RNA (465 nucleotides) under uncultured bacterium. RNAcentral describes it as "bacterial SSU rRNA". It matches the Rfam family "Bacterial small subunit ribosomal RNA", at positions 338 to 795 of the family's 1533-position model. The record is from RNAcentral.
CCUACGGGGUGCAGCAGUGGGGAAUAUUGCACAAUGGGCGCAAGCCUGAUGCAGCCAUGCCGCGUGUAUGAAGAAGGCCUUCGGGUUGUAAAGUACUUUCAGCGGGGAGGAAGGGAGUAAAGUUAAUACCUUUGCUCAUUGACGUUACCCGCAGAAGAAGCACCGGCUAACUCCGUGCCAGCAGCCGCGGUAAUACGGAGGGUGCAAGCGUUAAUCGGAAUUACUGGGCGUAAAGCGCACGCAGGCGGUUUGUUAAGUCAGAUGUGAAAUCCCCGGGCUCAACCUGGGAACUGCAUCUGAUACUGGCAAGCUUGAGUCUCGUAGAGGGGGGUAGAAUUCCACGUGUAGCGGUGAAAUGCGUAGAGAUGUGGAGGAACACCAGUGGCGAAGGCGGCUCUCUGGUCUGUAACUGACGCUGAGGCGCGAAAGCGUGGGGAGCAAACAGGAUUAGAUACCCGAGUAGUC